GAUGAAGAACGUAGCGAAAUGCGAUAAGUAAUGUGAAUUGCAGAAUUCAGUGAAUCAUCGAAUCUUUGAACGCACAUUGCGCCCUCUGGUAUUCCGGGGGGCAUGCCUGUUCGAGCGUCAUUAUAACCACUCAAGCUCUCGCUUGGUAUUGGGGUUCGCGGUUCCGCGGCCCCUAAAAUCAGUGGCGGUGCCUGUCGGCUCUACGCGUAGUAAUACUCCUCGCGAUUGAGGCCGUAGGUCUACUUGCCAGCAACCCCCAAUUUUUACAGGUUGACCUCGGAUCAGGUAGGGAUACCCGCUGAACUUAAGCAUAUCAAUAAGCGGAGGA
RNAcentral lists this unclassified non-coding RNA (328 nucleotides) under soil metagenome. RNAcentral's name for it is "partial contains 5.8S ribosomal RNA, internal transcribed spacer 2, and large subunit ribosomal RNA". The stretch from base 1 to 120 matches the Rfam family "5.8S ribosomal RNA", at positions 35 to 154 of the family's 154-position model. The record is from RNAcentral.